GCCAGCCGACCUUUCUGGUCGGCGGCUAGGCCCAGUCGCCGCCUGAACCUUUUUAACGGCUAAGCCGUACUUAGCCGCCGCCGCCACCUCUUUUUUGGACGGCUAGACGCCGGCGGCGUUUAUUUUUCGGCUCUCCACUCUGAUCGGGGUCUUCUUAAAUCGU
Bradysia coprophila is the source of this 163-nucleotide long non-coding RNA. Lineage: Eukaryota; Metazoa; Arthropoda; Insecta; Diptera; Sciaridae. The record is from RefSeq and is a predicted model, not a curated record.